AGAGUUUGAUCAUGGCUCAGAACGAACGCUGGCGGCAGGCCUAACACAUGCAAGUCGAACGGAUGUAGCAAUACAUUAGUGGCGCACGGGAGAGUAACGCGUGGGAACCUACCUUUUGGUUUGGGAUAACGUCGGGAAACUGACGCUAAUACCAGAUAAGCCCUCCGGGGGAAAGAUUUAUCGCCGAUAGAUGGGCCCGCGUUAGAUUAGCUAGUUGGUGAGGUAAUGGCUCACCAAGGCGACGAUCUAUAACUGGUCUGAGAGGAUGACCAGUCUCACUGGGACUGAGACACGGCCCAGACUCCUACGGGAGGCAGCAGUGGGGAAUAUUGGACAAUGGGGGCAACCCUGAUCCAGCCAUGCCGCGUGAACGAUGAAGGCCUUCGGGUUGUAAAGUUCUUUUGGUGGGGACGAUGAUGACGGUACCCACAGAAUAAGCACCGGCUAACUUCGUGCCAGCAGCCGCGGUAAUACGAAGGGUGCUAGCGUUGUUCGGAAUUACUGGGCGUAAAGGGCGCGUAGGCGGUUUAACAAGUUGGGUGUGAAAGCCCAGGGCUCAACCCUGGAACUGCACUCAAGACUGUUUUACUUGAAUUCGGUAGAGGUUGGUGGAAUUCCCAGUGUAGAGGUGAAAUUCGUAGAUAUUGGGAAGAAUAUCCGUGGCGAAGGCGGCCAACUGGACCGACAUUGACGCUGAGGCGCGAAAGCGUGGGGAUCAAACAGGAUUAGAUACCCUGGUAGUCCACGCUGUAAACGAUGCAUGCUAGACGUUGGAAACCUCA
RNAcentral lists this ribosomal RNA (782 nucleotides) under uncultured bacterium. RNAcentral describes it as "bacterial SSU rRNA". It matches the Rfam family "Bacterial small subunit ribosomal RNA", at positions 8 to 834 of the family's 1533-position model. The record is from RNAcentral.